CCCGUCUUUGUGAUUUUUUCCUCUGUUUGCCGAAAAGGAGAUUCCCGGGUCGGAAUAUUAUCGCUUUUCUACGAGAAAAAUGGCAUAAAAAUUGAUUUUAAACAGCGGUUGACAUGCUUCGAAGUACGGUAAUGGAAUAUUUAGAAUUUUUUUGUCACGAAUUGCGCCAUGCGCACGACCCUUAUUUACCAUUUCGGAUAGUGUCUGGGACGCACGAACAAAACGCCGCUAUUCGGAUAUAACGAUGGAUUAUUUUGGACCAAACCAACAUUUGUUAUUGAAGUGGCAGUCCUGGGAGUGCAUUCUGACGAAGACAACAAAAGGCAACCCUGGAGGAAAUCAAGACAAUCCAUUGACAUUUGCUAGCUGUUUGAAAUGACACCCCUCGCCCGCAGACUUUUGGGGAAGAGGGUCUUUAUGAAGAUGCAUGAGAAGGAAAACUGACUAUUAAAGUUUCUGAGAGUUCAUUAACUUUUUUGAAGUAGGUUCUGGAUCCCAUAAAGUGCAAUAUUUCACUUGUUUGCCCGAUGUUAUUAAAAAAAAUAAGUGCUUGUGGAGGCCCCGAUAGUUCAUUUUACAUGUGACAACCAUUAAAUGAGACAAGGACAAUAGAAUCAUGGCCGCCACCGCAUGCUGGCAUUUAACGACCAAUUUUAAGGUCUGUUACUGAAAGUAACUAUGCUCUGCUUUCUGA
This 694-nucleotide long non-coding RNA is filed under the name Salmo salar (Atlantic salmon). RNAcentral's name for it is "lncRNA (ENSSSAG00000102174.1)". Lineage: Eukaryota; Metazoa; Chordata; Actinopteri; Salmoniformes; Salmonidae. The record is from RNAcentral.